Molecule: ribosomal RNA, 465 nt
Filed under: uncultured bacterium
Lineage: Bacteria
Description: partial 16S ribosomal RNA
Rfam family: Bacterial small subunit ribosomal RNA
Source: RNAcentral
GACGAACGCUGGCGGCGUGCUUAACACAUGCAAGUCGUACGGUAAGGCCCUUUCGGGGGUCCACGAGUGGCGAACGGGUGAGUAACACGUGAGUAACCUGCCCACAACUUUGGGAUAACGCUAGGAAACUGGUGCCAAUACUGGAUAUGUGCUCCUGCUGCAUGGUGGGGGUUGGAAAGCUCCGGCCGUUGUGGAUGGACUCGCGGCAUAUCGGCUCGUUGGUGGGGUAGUGGGCUACCAAGGCGGCGACGGGUAGCCGGCCUGAGAGGGUGACCGGCCACAUUGGGACUGAGAGACGGCCCAGACUCCUACGGGUGGCAGCAGUGGGGAAUAUUGCACAAUGGGCGCCAGCCGGAUGCAGCAACGCCGCGUGCGGGAUGACGGCCUUCGGGUUGUAAACCGCUUUCAGCAGGGACGAAGCUUUUUGUGACGGUACCUGCAGAAGAAGCACCGGCUAACUACGUG